Molecule: non-coding RNA, 418 nt
Organism: Paramuricea clavata
Lineage: Eukaryota; Metazoa; Cnidaria; Anthozoa; Malacalcyonacea; Plexauridae
Source: the annotation of a GenBank genome assembly
AAAAAAAAUAUCGUGAGUCCGCUACAAAAUAUGAGUUCAACGUGAUUUGAACCCAAACGUUAAUAGAGACAGGCCAGACGAACUACCACUAAGCCACCAGGGACGAUCUGAAAUUUUUGUGAAAUUAAAGACAAUAGUAGAUUGUUGUGACCUGCUUAUCUCAUGCGGUGUAGGAGACUAUUAUGCGGGGAAUGGCGGUGAACGCGGUGAAAGAAUUCAAUAUGAAAUCAACACAGAAUGAUUAGCUGGAUCUCUUCGGGCCAGGUUCAACAUAGCAAUAUUUUAUACUACUUGCAAAGCGAUUUCGCACAUAGAACUAUAAAAAGAGUAAAAAAUAGCCAGAUUAUAUAAAGGGAAAAAAAAUAUUGUGAGUCCGCUACAAAAUAUGAGUUCAACGUGAUUUGAACCCAAACGUUAA